Molecule: long non-coding RNA, 905 nt
Filed under: Monodelphis domestica (gray short-tailed opossum)
Lineage: Eukaryota; Metazoa; Chordata; Mammalia; Didelphimorphia; Didelphidae
Description: lncRNA (ENSMODG00000034051.2)
Source: RNAcentral
GGUCUUGGGUUCCAUAAUGUGGGAGGGAGAAAGAACAGAAAGACACAUCUUUCCUCCUCAAACUUACAUGAUGUAUCUUCUGUUAAACUUUCCCUGAUUAUUCCUAUAGGGAAUGAACUUUCCUUCUCUUGGACUUCACAAAGACUUGACUUAUGACCCUUGAUGCUCUUAUCAAGUUAUAUUAUAACUAUUAUUUUUCAGAACUGGAAGGGACCUUGGAGAAAAUUUCAUCCUACUUUUUAUUUUUUAGAUGAGAAAACAGAAUGUUAGGAUGCUGAUUAAACUUGUACAAGGCUCACAUGGCUAUUUUGAUAGAAAUCUGAUGCUAGAAUUCAGGCCUUCUGACUCAAAAAUCCAAACUCCCUUCCACUAUAACUAUACCCUUACUAAAUGAUGGAUCCAUGAGGGUGGGGCCAUCACGUUUUGUUUCAACCUUAUGUCUCCUCCUAGAACUGAACAAUGAAAUACUGAAGAUAAAUGUUUACUGGAGUUGAAAUGGAAACUGGAGAUAUAUCAGCAUUUUGCCGUGCAAAAAGAACACUGGAUUUGAAGCUGGACAAUGAGGUGGGACUUCUCUGUGGCUGGGAUACUGCCCUUCUUUAUUCCCUGGCUUCCUUCAAGAAUCAACUUAAAUCCCACCUUUGGUAAGUAGCCUUUCCCUCAUCCCACCUUCCCCACCACAACCACUGCUAACCGCUAGUGCUUUCCCUCUGAGAUGACCUGUUUGCUCCAUAAGAUACUUUGCUUGUACAUGUUGCCUUUCUAUUAGAAUGCGAGUUCCAGGGACUGUAUUUUUAAAAAACAACAACAAAAAACAACCUUUCUUUUAUUCCUUGCACUUAGUUACUGCCUGGCACAUAUAAGUACUUAAUAAAUGCAUAUUGACUGAUUACUGAUACUUUUUA